Corythoichthys intestinalis (scribbled pipefish) is the source of this 310-nucleotide long non-coding RNA. RefSeq lists it as uncharacterized. The record is from RefSeq and is a predicted model, not a curated record. Lineage: Eukaryota; Metazoa; Chordata; Actinopteri; Syngnathiformes; Syngnathidae. The transcript has 4 exons.
UUACACUUCAUGUUUACUCAUUUCAGGUACUCAUCCAGAUGUGUGGAGAUUUUCAGUUACCGCCUUGAUUUAACCUGUUGCGGAUCGAGAAAUUGACGCCAUCGAGGUCACGUCCACACAACUUCAUGACCUGAUCCAGAAGCCUUUUGAAGAAGGAUACGCGCACUGUUGAUGUUUCAGUCAUGCAAACAUGGUCUUCCUCACAAGGUCCACACGCUGGUCUGUGAUCCUCCCAUUGGCCGACGAGUAAGAGUUGCAGUUUUCCUUGUGUGCUUGUCUGAAAUGCAAAAAUAAAAGAUUAAAAAAAGAA